This 526-nucleotide ribosomal RNA is filed under the name uncultured bacterium. Its description in RNAcentral is "bacterial SSU rRNA". It matches the Rfam family "Bacterial small subunit ribosomal RNA", at positions 777 to 1301 of the family's 1533-position model. The record is from RNAcentral.
AAUAGAUACCCAGGUAGUCCACGCCGUAAACGAUGAGUGCUAAGUGUUAGAGGGUUUCCGCCCUUUAGUGCUGCAGCUAACGCAUUAAGCACUCCGCCUGGGGAGUACGGCCGCAGGGCUGAAACUCAAAGGAAUUGACGGGGGCCCGCACAAGCGGUGGAGCAUGUGGUUUAAUUCGAAGCAACGCGAAGAACCUUACCAGGUCUUGACAUCCUCUGCCAACCCUAGAGAUAGGGCGUUCCCCUUCGGGGGACAGAGUGACAGGUGGUGCAUGGUUGUCGUCAGCUCGUGUCGUGAGAUGUUGGGUUAAGUCCCGCAACGAGCGCAACCCUUGAUCUUAGUUGCCAGCAUUCAGUUGGGCACUCUAAGGUGACUGCCGGUGACAAACCGGAGGAAGGUGGGGAUGACGUCAAAUCAUCAUGCCCCUUAUGACCUGGGCUACACACGUGCUACAAUGGAUGGUACAAAGAGCUGCGAACCCGCGAGGGUAAGCGAAUCUCAUAAAGCCAUUCUCAGUUCGGAUUGU